GACGAACGCUGGCGGCGUGCUUAACACAUGCAAGUCGAACGGAAAGGCCCUGCUUUUGUGGGGUGCUCGAGUGGCGAACGGGUGAGUAACACGUGAGUAACCUGCCCUUGACUUUGGGAUAACUUCAGGAAACUGGGGCUAAUACCGGAUAGGAGCUCCUGCUGCAUGGUGUGGGUUGGAAAGUUUCGGCGGCUGGGGUUGGACUCGCGGCUUCUCAGCUUGUUGGUGGGGUAGUGGCUUACCAAGGCUUUGACGGGUAGCCGGCCUGAGAGGGUGACCGGCCACAUUGGGACUGAGAUACGGCCAAGACUCCUACGGGAGGCAGCAGUGGGGAAUAUUGCACAAUGGGCGGAAGCCUGAUGCAGCAACGCCGCGUGCGGGAUGACGGCCUUCGGGUUGUAAACCGCUUUCGCCUGUGACGAAGCGUGAGUGACGGUAAUGGGUAAAGAAGCACCGGCUAACUACGUG
RNAcentral lists this ribosomal RNA (468 nucleotides) under uncultured bacterium. RNAcentral's name for it is "partial 16S ribosomal RNA". It matches the Rfam family "Bacterial small subunit ribosomal RNA", at positions 28 to 507 of the family's 1533-position model. The record is from RNAcentral.